This 74-nucleotide transfer RNA is filed under the name Pseudogracilibacillus auburnensis. It matches the Rfam family "tRNA". Rfam says of the family: Transfer RNA (tRNA) molecules are approximately 80 nucleotides in length. Their secondary structure includes four short double-helical elements and three loops (D, anti-codon, and T loops). Lineage: Bacteria; Bacillati; Bacillota; Bacilli; Caryophanales; Bacillaceae. The record is from Rfam by way of RNAcentral.
GCGCCCGUAGCUCAGCUGGAUAGAGCACUGGUUUCCGGUACCAGGCGUCGGGGGUUCAAGUCCUCUCGGGCGCG